Molecule: long non-coding RNA, 1229 nt
Organism: Cinclus cinclus
Lineage: Eukaryota; Metazoa; Chordata; Aves; Passeriformes; Cinclidae
Exons: 3
Source: RefSeq, a predicted model, not a curated record
ACUUGAUAUCAAUUUUAUUACAGGCGGUUUGAACUUUUUGAAGAGCCAGAAGGAUUGUUUGUGCCUGCGUGUGUCACUAAUAUCCCUCCUCCCUCCAAUGCAGGAUGGGGGAAAAAAGGCUGCAGAGCUUCCUGCAAGGGGCUGUAAGUGCAAAUAAAGAGGAGCCAGAGGUUUAGUUGCUACGAAUCACUGUUUCUGAAAAGAGCCUGAUGGAUUUCCUGAUACCAAAACCAGUAGGAAUAGGAGACUGAACUCGGGCAUGGUGAUGGUCUCCUUGGCUUUAAAAAGCUUUAGUGGCUUUAAAAGGCAUUUCUAUCAGACCUGGUUUAUUUUUAUUACCUCUCAUUAAAUUUUAGAAUAAAAAAGCCCCGCUCCAUCACUGCUGCUGUGAUGUGUGACUAAAGCCCAUCUUCCCUCCACUGGGAACAGGUGAGAGAUGGGACUAAACCCCAAAGGAUUUUCUGCUCACUGAUGGCACGUGAGUUUUCUUGGGAAUUCUCUGCCAAAUGUGGUCAGUUGUCCUUGAAUGUGGCCAUGAGGGGAGUCGGACGUGCCAGCCCAGAUCUGCAAACAUGCAGUGCCAGAAGGAGAACCUUUGAAAUGUCACCUGGGAUGUGUUCCACUGACUCACAGGACCGGAGAAAUGGUUCCACUCCUCCCAUCUUUGCCAAAAGCUGUGGUGUUUGAGGAGCCAGAGCCAAGGUGCCUUCAGCACCAGGGCUCUGCACUGGAGGGCUCCCGGUCCUGACCGCGCAGGGUUCCCCUUUUCCUCCCCGCUGGGAUGAAGUGUCUAUGGAAUCUGGGGUCUGGGUGAAACUGCAGCUCUGCUGGUAUCCAGGGACGUGAGGUUCCGGGGGACUGCGUUUCUCUGUGGCUUUCCAGGUCGGCAGGAGCCGGAGGAAAUGGGGUGCCAGAGCCGUGCCCCAUCAGGCCGUGUUUGCCUCUGAGGAACAGAGAGUCCGGGCUGAGGGAGAAGAGGACGAACUCCCAGCCAUUCAGGCCUGACAGUCCCCUGCAGCGAGAGCAUACACUGGAAGAGUUCAGGGUCGAAGACAAGGCUGAGGGAAAAUCCAGGGUAUUUAUAAGGGAUGAUGAGAGGUGGGUCCAGGGUGAGAAUCCAGUGGGUAAAGGGAAAAGUGGUGUAAGGGAGGAGUAAUACAGGGCAGGGGCCGAUAAGGUAGGAUGGGUGGAACAGUGCAGUGAACAUAAACCAAUGGGGGGGGGGGGGG